This 986-nucleotide long non-coding RNA is filed under the name Equus caballus (horse). RNAcentral describes it as "lncRNA (ENSECAG00000039051.3)". Lineage: Eukaryota; Metazoa; Chordata; Mammalia; Perissodactyla; Equidae. The record is from RNAcentral.
AAACAAUCCCUCACCUGUACACAGAUUGUGUUCAGAGAGAAGCGACUUUGGAAAACAGUCUGGAACAGUCUGGAACUGGAGCCCCCUUGAUUUCGCUCUACCCCACAGCCAGGGGAUCUGUUCGGAAUGUAGAUGGUGCAGACGCUUUCAGCCUGACUACUGCCCUUUCUCCAAGGUGGAAAAGCUCCUGCGGGACCUGCCUCCCACCUAAUCUGCAGCUCCGUUCCUGCAUCUCCUCCACCCUCACCGUGCUCCCGGCACACUGGUCUCCACGAUGUCCUUUCAAAGAACAGGCAAUUAAGGGUGAAUUUGGAGCUGAGAAGCAAGAGAUUGAUCACGGGCACAGCAGGACUCAGGGCUGCACUGAAUCUGAGAUCUUCGUCACGCUCGGAUGGGGAAACUGAGUCCUGGGGAUCUUUGUCCCAAAUCUCACGGUUACUGAACGGCUACGUUGGAACUAGAUGCAAGGUCUUGCAAUUUUCUCUAAAUUUUCUACAUGGCCACCUCAAAAAGAAAGCAUGCUGCACCUUUCAUUUUCUGGUGCAAAGCAGAAGAAAUGCGGAAGGAAGAGAAGGAGAAAGAAUCAAGUAAGUCCUGCUCCUUACUGAAACUGCCAGGUGCCCUGCUGGAAUCCUCCUUGGGAGAGAGCCUUCAAAAAAAGACAUGUUAUUGCAAGGCCACUCCCUGUUUUCCACAUUCUUGACAGAGCAGCCCCAAGUUCGCUGAGGAGGUGGCAGUGGAAGAGGAGCUGGAAAACAGCCUCGGGUGCUUGGGUUCCGAAGCCCAGACAGAGUCUAAUCCAGAAGGAACCACUGGCCUCUGGAAUCGCAACUUAACCCCUUCAUAGCUUAAAGACAGACAAGAUCAGAAAGGCAGGCCUCUGGAAAGAAAUGAAGAUCACCUGAAAGUGUAAAUAAGUGAAUAAACAUGAAAGACAAUUUUUAUCAAUGUUUAAUUUAUGUAAAAGGUGAUUGAAUGUUUAAAGC